Long non-coding RNA from Quercus robur (English oak), 850 nucleotides. RefSeq lists it as uncharacterized. The transcript is spliced from 2 exons. The record is from RefSeq and is a predicted model, not a curated record. NCBI's taxonomy places the organism in Eukaryota, Viridiplantae, Streptophyta, Magnoliopsida, Fagales, Fagaceae.
UGGUUUGGAACUGUUUUUGUUUUUCAUUUUUCCCUCCCCUAAGAAAACACGCUAAAACACGCCUGAAAAACAGCCAAUUAAUGAACCAACACACUGGUUCGACCCACAAGAACGACAAAAAGUAAUUCCCGCGCCUCCUUUUUUUUUCACUCAAUAUUUUAGCGCCUAACUCUGAUAACCCUUUAUCUUGCUCUGCGCCUUCAUUGACUCCCUCUUGCUCACAGAGAAAACCUUGAUUGAGAGAACAACUUGUAAGGAUGAAUGUUGAACCAAAUUAUUAUUUAGUGGAUUCUGGUUAUCCAUGCACCUUGGGGUUUCUACCUCCGUACCGUACUGAGAGAUACCAUCUAUGAGACUUUCGAGGUGGGGAUCAUCCUGAAGGUGCUAAAGAGCUUUUCAAUUAUAGACAUUCAUCUCUUUGUAAUAUAAUUGAAAGAUGUUUUGGCGUUUUAAAGGCAAGAUUUCCAAUCUUAAAAAUGAUGCCCCGUUACAAACCAUGUCAACAAGGGAAUGUGAUGAGAGCCUGUUGCACAAUUCAUAACUUCAAUCGAAUGGCAACAAAAAAUGAUCGCUUGUUUACUCACUUCAAUAUUGAUAACCUUACUGUUGAAGGUGAAGGUUGGGAUAAUUUGGGUGAGCCAUCGCAUACUAUUGACUUAACUGAUCAAGCCGCUAAAGCUAUGGCAGCUUAUAGGGAUCAUAUCGCAGGAUUGAUGUUGGCAAAUAAUAGGCAUCAUUGAUGCCAUGUUAUUUUAUUUUUAUUUUUUGGAUGAAAUUGAUUCCCUUGCAUUGAUGCCAUGUAGUAAACUUUUUAGUUAUUGAUUAUCUUUUAUAAUACUUGAUAAUUGUU